UCCCGUAAUGUUCAACACAAAUAACCGUAAAAAAACUCUAAAAAGUAUUUUUAUUUCGUGAAAAACUAUCUCAGUUUUGGAAUCUUCUGAAUUCACAUGCAUGCCGUCUAUAGGACAUAUACCCUGGUGGUUAUUACUGUUUCCGCUAUCAUUUCCACGAUAUACCGUCCCGUGCUCCAAUUCCACGCUUUAGCCAAUUCGUGUUUUUCGUUUGCACCUCGAAGCAGACCUACGUUGUUAUUUGCUUCAGUCUUGCUCUUUAGCAUGCCAAAGAAAUUUGACUACUAUUGCUCUUUUUAUUUAUAGCUAAAGAGAAGUUAAAUAGCACAAGCAGUUUGAAGAAUGGGUAUGUUGGAUCGUUCACAACCUUGGCUCAGCCAUGUUUGCCAUACCCACCCUAUCCAGAAAGACAGCAAAAGAAUAGGUCAGUUUCGAUGGCUGAAACAUCACCAGUGCUUUGGCAUGACCAGGUGCAAAAAACGACUGAAAAGGUUGAAUCAACACUUAUUACUCCAAACAAAAAGGAGUUGAGCACGAAGGACGAUGCUGUCAAAAAAGAUAGAUGCCUGUCAACAGCAUCAUCUGACAGUGGUUCCAUAAUGGAGGUUGUGGAGGGCUUAAGAAGAAAAAAUAUAGGUGUGCGCGGCACCCAGACAAUGGCUUCUAUUGGUUGUUCUCUCAUUAGCAACUCUUACAUCAUCAUUUGCCUUUUCCCCCCGUUCUUUCCCUAAAUUGCUGAAGAUAAGGGUGCCACAGUAUCCAUUUAUGGAUUUAUUAUUGGUACCAACUGCCUGACAUCGUUUCUUGUCACACUCCUUUUAUUGGAAAAACCUAAAAGUUAGUGGCGUUCGGUUCACCUUUGUUUCUGGAGUUUUCAUUGGAGGUAUUUGCUGCUUAUUAUCGGGCUUUUUAGAGUAUUUCCCUCCUUUCCCCUCCAUUUCCCCGGGGUUCAUUCGUCGUAAUAUCUAUAUUGUUCCGCGUCAUUCACGCUGCCGGAAACGCUGGAACAAUUACGGCGACGUUUACGUACACUGGUGUGGAGUUUCCCAAUUCCGUUGCCAAAAUCUUUAAUCUUACAAGAACCAUGAUGAACAUUGCCCAGCUUGCUGGUCCUAUAGUCGGCGGUGCAUUGUACGAAGUCGGUGGUGUUAAGACUCCCUUUAUCCUCAUGGGCGGAAUUCAAACUUUUAUGGCCUUUAUGGCAUUACCCUUUCUUCCCGAUUAUGACGUGUCACAGUAUGACGAGGGAUCGACUAAAACUCAAUCGCCAUUGGCUAUUUUGUGUAUUCCAUCCAUUUGGAUCCCGUUCUUCACGUUCAUCGUAUCGACAUGUCGAACGGGUUCCUCUCGAUCAACCUUGAACCGCAAGUGUUGCGUACGUUUGACUUGACACCAUUUUACGUGGGUAUCUUUUUCGAACUGAAAGACGGUGCCAACAGUAUAGCCAGCCCUAUUUGGGGAUACUUGUGCGAUCGCCGUGGACCUGUGAAGCUCUGCCUUUUUUCCAGUACCAUGAUCGGAGCCUUGUCCAUAUUUUUGCUGGGGCCUUUUCGCUUCGUUCCUAUUGAUCGAAAUCUAGCUGUUGUCGGUAUCGCAUUGGCACAAAGUGGAGUUGCGUUUGCAGGGCAACAAGUUUCGGGGGUCGUUGAUGCCAUGAGAGAAG
Molecule: long non-coding RNA, 1663 nt
Organism: Daphnia carinata
Lineage: Eukaryota; Metazoa; Arthropoda; Branchiopoda; Diplostraca; Daphniidae
Exons: 8
Source: RefSeq, a predicted model, not a curated record